UACGACUACAUAUCAGGCAUAUCAAUAAGCGGAGGAAAAGAAACUAACAAGGAUUCCCUUAGUAACGGCGAGUGAAGCGGGAAGAGCUCAAAUUUGAAAUCUUCAAGGUUCUACCUUGACGAAUUGUAGUUUAAAGAAGUGUUUUCUGUUAGAUGAGUAGCAAAAGUUCCUUGGAAUGGGACAUCAUAGAGGGUGAGAAUCCCGUAUUUGGUUAUUCAUUCUAGCUUUGUGAUACACUUUCAAAGAGUCGGAUUGUUUGGGAAUGCAGUCCAAAAUGGGUGGUAAAUUUCAUCUAAAGCUAAAUAUUGGCGAGAGACCGAUAGCGAACAAGUACCGUGAGGGAAAGAUGAAAAGAACUUUGAAAAGAGAGUUAAACAGUACGUGAAAUUGUCAAAAGGGAAGCGUUUGACACCAGUGUUGUUUUUUCCGAAAAUCAAUUACGAAUGGCUUGAUUUUGUGUUGUAUUGACCUUAUCAGCUUUCUGCACUUUUUUUCGAGUCUUUCUUAAUGCACUUUUCGGUUAACAAGUCAACAUCAAUUUCUUUUGUUGUAAAAGAGUAUUCGGAAGGUGGCUUUCUUUUCGGAGAAAGUGUUAUAUAGCCCUAUACUUCUACAAUCGGAGAGAUUGAGGUCUGCAGCGUAGAUCCUUCGGGGUUAGAUACAUUUGUGCUAAGUUGUAGCUUUUCAGAGACAACUUGUUGACUAUGUUUAGUCAUGCGGCUUACUCGCUUAUGCUAUUUUACCUACGCUUAGGAUGUUGAGUAGCGACAUACGCAC
RNAcentral lists this ribosomal RNA (777 nucleotides) under uncultured Neocallimastigales. RNAcentral describes it as "partial large subunit ribosomal RNA". It matches the Rfam family "Eukaryotic large subunit ribosomal RNA", at positions 24 to 649 of the family's 3401-position model. Lineage: Eukaryota; Fungi; Neocallimastigomycota; Neocallimastigomycetes; Neocallimastigales. The record is from RNAcentral.